GACAGAGGUGCCGAGCGUUAGGCGGAAUCACUGGGCUUAAAGCGUGUGUAGGCGGACUUGUAAGUACCUUGUGAAAUCCCAUGGCUCAACCAUGGAACUGCUUGGUAUACUGCUUGUCUUGAGCCACUUAGGGGCAGUCGGAACAGACGGUGGAGCGGUGAAAUGCGUAGAUAUCGUCUGGAACGCCAAAGGUGAAAACAGACUGCUGGGAGUGUACUGACGCUGAGACACGAAGGCUAGGGGAGCAAACGGG
RNAcentral lists this ribosomal RNA (253 nucleotides) under uncultured bacterium. RNAcentral describes it as "partial 16S ribosomal RNA". It matches the Rfam family "Bacterial small subunit ribosomal RNA", at positions 524 to 776 of the family's 1533-position model. The record is from RNAcentral.